RNAcentral lists this ribosomal RNA (294 nucleotides) under Triticum aestivum (bread wheat). Its description in RNAcentral is "partial small subunit ribosomal RNA". It matches the Rfam family "Eukaryotic large subunit ribosomal RNA", at positions 1890 to 2184 of the family's 3401-position model. Lineage: Eukaryota; Viridiplantae; Streptophyta; Magnoliopsida; Poales; Poaceae. The record is from RNAcentral.
AUGGAACAAUGUAGGCAAGGGAAGUCGGCAAAACGGAUCCGUAACUUCGGGAAAAGGAUUGGCUCUGAGGACUGGGCUCGGGGGUCCCGGCCCCGAACCCAUCGGCUGUCGGCGGAUUGCUCGAGCUGCUCACGCGGCGAGAGCGGGUCGCCGCGUGCCGGCCGGGGGACGGACCGGGAAUCGCCCCUUCGGGGGCUUUCCCCGAGCAUGAAACAGUCGACUCAGAACUGGUACGGACAAGGGGAAUCCGACUGUUUAAUUAAAAAACAUUGCGAUGGUCCUCGCGGAUGCUGA